GAGUGGCCGUGCGCAUCAGGCAAGAAAUACUACGGCCGUGGGCCCAUCCAGCUCUCAUGGAACUACAACUAUGGCCCCACGGGGCGUGCCAUUGGGGUGGACCUGCUCAACAACCCGGACCUGGUGGCCACGGACGCGACGGUGUCGUUUAAGACGGCGUUAUGGUUUUGGAUGACGGCUCAGGCGAACAAGCCGUCGUCCCAUGCCGUGAUCACAGGCCAAUGGGCCCCGUCGGGCACGGACAACGCUGCAGGCCGGGUGCCUGGGUAUGGCGUCAUCACCAACAUUAUCAACGGCGGGCUCGAGUGCGGUAGGGGACAGGAUGACCGUGUUGCUAACCGGAUCGGGUUCUACAAGCGCUACUGCGAUGUCCUCUGCGUUGGCUAUGGUAACAACCUCGACUGCUACAACCAGAGGCCGUUUAACAGUGGGCUCUCGGUGGGGCUUGCCACUGAGUGA
This 459-nucleotide ribosomal RNA is filed under the name Triticum aestivum (bread wheat). RNAcentral's name for it is "partial small subunit ribosomal RNA". Lineage: Eukaryota; Viridiplantae; Streptophyta; Magnoliopsida; Poales; Poaceae. The record is from RNAcentral.